This 73-nucleotide transfer RNA is filed under the name Bacteroidales bacterium. RNAcentral describes it as "tRNA-Lys". It matches the Rfam family "tRNA". Rfam says of the family: Transfer RNA (tRNA) molecules are approximately 80 nucleotides in length. Their secondary structure includes four short double-helical elements and three loops (D, anti-codon, and T loops). The record is from RNAcentral. Lineage: Bacteria; Pseudomonadati; Bacteroidota; Bacteroidia; Bacteroidales.
GUCUUCUUAGCUCAGUUGGUAGAGCAAUUGACUCUUAAUCAAUGGGUCUGGGGUUCGAGUCCCCAAGAGGACA